This 327-nucleotide ribosomal RNA is filed under the name Triticum aestivum (bread wheat). RNAcentral's name for it is "partial small subunit ribosomal RNA". Lineage: Eukaryota; Viridiplantae; Streptophyta; Magnoliopsida; Poales; Poaceae. The record is from RNAcentral.
AUGGCGGCCGCGGGAGAUCCUCUCCAAGGUCAAGCACGUCCAGGCCAAGCCUGCUGGCCGCCCUCGCGGGUGACUGCCUCUGCGGUGACGACGGCGGCAAUCUCGUCGUCCCCACGCCCGAUUCAUCUCCAAUCCCGCCGCCAACACCCAACCCCACCCCCACCGGCGACCUCUCCUAACCCCAUCACCAUCGGCGACCUCCCUCCCUUGCUCCUCCCUCCCACGUCACCGCCGCCGCCACACACUGCCGAUCCCCUCACAUCUCGUACCCUCUCCAGUCCCCUUCCCUCCCCUGCCCUCAUCAGAAGAGGAAGAGAAGAGGGUUAG